Molecule: long non-coding RNA, 477 nt
Filed under: Homo sapiens (human)
Lineage: Eukaryota; Metazoa; Chordata; Mammalia; Primates; Hominidae
Description: long non-coding RNA NONHSAT005604.2
Source: RNAcentral
GCCAGCAGCUCCAAGAUGAUUUGAUGAAGGUCCUGAACGAGCUCUACUCGGUCAUGAAGACAUAUCACAUGUACAAUGCCGACAGCAUCAGUGCUCAGAGCAAACUAAAGGAGGCGGAGAAGCAGGAGGAGAAGCAAAUUGGUAAAUCGGUAAAGCAGGAGGACCGGCAGACCCCAUGCUCCCCUGACUCCACGGCCAACGUUCGCAUUGAGGAGAAACAUGUCCGGAGGAGCUCAGUGAAGAAGAUUGAGAAGAUGAAGGAGAAGCACCAAGCCAAGUACACGGAGAAUAAGCUGAAGGCCAUCAAAGCCCAGAAUGAGUACUUGCUGGCUUUGGAGGCAACCAAUGCAUCUGUCUUCAAGUACUACAUCCAUGACCUAUCUGACCUUAUUGAUGUAAGUGCUUAAAGCCAAGGGCCUGAGGGCCCCUCUUUUCUGGUUUCAGAAUACUCGUCAGACAUUCCCGAUACUAUUGUUC